RNAcentral lists this ribosomal RNA (668 nucleotides) under uncultured cyanobacterium. Its description in RNAcentral is "bacterial SSU rRNA". It matches the Rfam family "Bacterial small subunit ribosomal RNA", at positions 99 to 795 of the family's 1533-position model. Lineage: Bacteria; Bacillati; Cyanobacteriota. The record is from RNAcentral.
CGGACGGGUGAGUAACGCGUGAGCAAUUUGCCUUUAGGAGGGGGACAACAAUUGGAAACGAUUGCUAAUACCCCAUAUGCUUUCGAGUGAAAUGGAUUUUUCCGCCUAAAGAGAAGCUUGCGGCUGAUUAGCUUGUUGGUAAGGUAAUGGCUUACCAAGGCGACGAUCAGUAUCUGGUUUGAGAGGACGAUCAGACACACUGGAACUGAGACACGGUCCAGACUCCUACGGGAGGCAGCAGUGGGGAAUUUUCCGCAAUGGGCGAAAGCCUGACGGAGCAAUCUCGCGUGAGGGAUGACGGCCUAUGGGUUGUAAACCUCUUUUUUCAGGGAGGAAUAAAAUGACGUGUACCUGAAGAAUAAGCAUCGGCUAACUCCGUGCCAGCAGCCGCGGUAAGACGGAGGAUGCAAGUGUUAUCCGGAAUCACUGGGCGUAAAGCGUCUGUAGGUGGUUUAAUAAGUCAACUGUUAAAUCUUGAGGCUCAACCUCAAAAUCGCAGUCGAAACUAUUAGGCUAGAGUAUAGUAGGGGUAAAGGGAAUUUCCAGUGGAGCGGUGAAAUGCGUAGAGAUUGGAAAGAACACCGAUGGCGAAGGCACUUUACUGGGCUAUUACUAACACUCAGAGACGAAAGCUAGGGUAGCAAAUGGGAUUAGAUACCCCAGUAGUC